UAGGGGGCAAGCGUUAUCCGGAUUUACUGGGUGUAAAGGGAGCGUAGACGGCACCGCAAGUCUGAAGUGAAAGCCCCGGGCUUAACCCGGGAACUGCUUUGGAAACUGUGGGGCUGGAGUGCUGGAGAGGUAAGCGGAAUUCCUAGUGUAGCGGUGAAAUGCGUAGAUAUUAGGAGGAACACCAGUGGCGAAGGCGGCUUACUGGACAGUCACUGACGUUGAGGCUCGAAAGCGUGGGGAGCAAA
Molecule: ribosomal RNA, 245 nt
Filed under: uncultured bacterium
Lineage: Bacteria
Description: partial 16S ribosomal RNA
Rfam family: Bacterial small subunit ribosomal RNA
Source: RNAcentral